UUAGGGAAAUUCUGUGCUGCACAACCGUGCAAUCAUAGGUGACGUGACAGGAUACUGCUGGGUACUGAGGCAGGCUUUGUCUCUUUAACGACUUUUUUUUAAAAUUGAUUUAUUUCUAUAGGUCUCCUGCAGCUCUGAGUGGCUCUCAUCUAGUGCCAAAUCCUGGAAGAAGGGUGUUAUCUGUCAGAUUCCUCUUGCUAUGUGAUGUGAGGCAUUCAUAGAAUCAUCAAGGUUAGAAAAGACCUCUAAGAUCAUCAAGUCCAACCAUCAACGCAACACCACCAUGCCUACAUAAAAUCAUGGAACCAUUAAGGUUGGAAAAGUCCAACGUCCCGGGUUUAAAAACAGGGAAAUAUAUGAGCUGUGUCCUGUGACCGAGUUUCCCAGUGAGACAACAGCCCAGGUUUCCAUCUGUACUGGAAAAAGCACCACGAAGAUGAUCUCAUGGAUACCGCUGCUUUUCAGCUCUCUUUCAGCUCUCUUCAGAAUCUGGUAAACUGCACAGUAGGCGGAAGUUUCCAUGAUUAAAUUCCUUUCAGAAUUAGGAAACUGAUAUUCAUUCACAUUCAAGGCUUUUUAAUCUGAUUGUGUGUCAUCUGGCUAGUUAAUUAUUCAAUAAGCUGUGAUGGCCAAGGAAUGUAAAGUGGAAUUGCUUUAAAAUAGCUGUGGUAUGAAAUGGUCCCUAUAAUUAAUGUUGCUUUUGCUCAAACUUUCUCACAACUUCUUGGCAUUGAAUUAAUUCUGUUUUUCACAUUAAUAACUGGGUGGUAUUCAACGCUGUAACAUUUCCUACCUUCUAUUAUGGAUAUUCCUCCUUGUGAGGGAUAGGACCUGCCAUCCUUCAGGGUGAGUUUGCAGGCACUUGUCAGAAUAAAGACUAUGUUAGCGGCUUAGAAAAAAGUUAUAAUUGAAACAUCAUGGGAAAACUGUGCGGGUCCUGCUGGAGCUGGAAGGCUGCAAUGUCUGUCUUCACAGGAUUCUCUUGGAAGUCACUCCUGGUUACACAUGUGCCUAAAUAUUUUGUAGAGCCAGGCCCUCAAAGCAUGCAGAAACACCCACGCUCUUCCAGAGACUAUCCAGGGACACAAACACUUUCCGUUCUCCCUCCAGAGGAACUUGCCUUGUCCUCGCCUUGCUGAGAAGCGUAACCUCAGCAGCAAAUACAACUUCGUCUGGAUGGCAGGGUAGACAUGGUAGCACUCGCCCAGCACUGCUGACACAGGAGAAACAGACAACCACGUACCUGUUGGGGAAUAUCUGAAGGCACAGGGGUUUCUUUUGGCUGCAGAACACGUUUCAUGAAGCAGCUGAAGGAUCCCUGGACUAGUUUUAUGAGUGUUAUUCCAGACAGAGUCUGAAGGCAUCUCGUCCUACAUCUACAGUGUAUAGCUGGAGCAAUGCAAGGAGCUUUCUAAGAGAGUAUACUCAUUUCUUAAAGCCAGGAUAAAACGUUCAACUCCUCUGAUCUAGGAUAAAUAUUUGUUAGAUGUGUAUGAACAUGUGUUUUUGUCUAAGAACAGGCAAGAAAAUUAACUAACUUCUACUCAUGCUGCAAGUAUGAGGGAGGAUGGACAGCAGCUUAUUCUCACUUGGAUACUCUGCUUGAACAACGAAAUGGGUUAGGUCAGGGUUUUCCUCACUUGUGCUCUUUCCAGGUCACUCUGUAAGAGCUGGCCUGCAGCCCUGCUCCCUCCACUGCAUCUCUGAGGAUGAAGGGGGAAGUUUUGCUGCCCUGUGCAUUUCAGCAAGCUGGGGAUGAUCUGUGCAGCCAGCAGGAAAGGAAACAUACCGCGGCGUAGGGCUGUUUGCUGAAAAGCACAAAGCAAACUUUGAAUCCUGCUUAAAAAGAUAUGAUUCAUCUGCUUGCUUGAAUUUGUUCUUUCUAUUGUCUCAGACAGAUUGCCUGGAAAGAAGGAUGCACCUCGACUGCCCAAAGCCCUGGUUUGCUCCGUGUGUGGCAUGCUCGCUUUACAUGGCCUGAAACCUCCAAUUUCCAUUGCUGGCUGGGUCGAUCAUGGUUUUGCUGAAGCGGAUUCUCGGGUGAAGCCACUCUGUGUGCACACCCCGUGGCAGCGCAGGUGGCGGCACCGGCAGUGAGGGGCACCACGCUGUGCCUGACCCCAGCAUCACCCCCACCUAGCCAGCAGCCAAGGGAGCGUGAUCUGGCCAAAAACACCCCUUGGCCUUGAGCAUUUCCAGAGAGGACUCUGUAUACUCACACAAUAUCUCCCUGCCUGCUGGCUGGUAUAAUCAGUAGGCUGAUGGCUCCAGCCUACACUGACUGAAGAGGGAUUUGUCUAAAGUUUAUGUCAGCUCUUUGAGAAUACUUGGGUGAAGUUUCCCUUUUUCAUUUGAAAAAAAAAUAAAAAUAUGUGCAUUGAAAGAUGCAAAAGACAUUCAGGAAAUACACGGUUCAUCGUUUCAGACAGACUGAGCAGUGGGACUGAGCUGAAUCAUUGGUAGGGUCGGUUUUGAUUUUGGAGUGGGUUUAAAUUGUAUAGUUACACUAAAUUCUGAGUGAAGAAAUUGUUCUUAGGUAGCUUCCAGUUUCUACCUUUGUUUUCUCAAACAGUAUUGCUGUGCUUUGCCAGACAUCAGUGCUAUUGUGUGGCUACAGCUAUAAAUUUUUAGCUAGCUAAACAAAUGCUUUCUCGUAGUGCUGCAAAAAAACGUAUAUAAAUAAAUAGGUUCAGGGACAAUUUGUCCAACAAGAAUCUAUAGCACAGAGGGGAUUCUGGAGUCAUCUUCAAAGUGUAUGCUGAUGUUUUUAAAAUGACCUAUGAAUCUCUCUCUAGUUCAAUAAGAGUCCAGAGGGAUUUUCAAUAUGAUAGAUUUGGGUUAUUAAAUUACUGUUGGAAAUGUGAAGCUGACCUCCAGUGGCAAACAUUUCUGUGAAAACAUUGGCAAGCACUUCAUUUGGUGAUCUUUCCUCCAUUGUUUCUUUUCUAAGAUCAAAAUAAACAAUAGAAAUAUAUUGGAUGAAGCAAGAAAACAAAAUAGGCUUGUUUUGUUGCAUUUUCUGAUAAGCAAUAUAGUCUAACUGCUAACAAAUGUUGGAGACAUCUGCUUUUAGCAGAUACUUAUAGUCAAAGAUAACUUUGAACUUGCACGUAAACCAAAAUGAAAUUACAAUCCCUUUUCUGCUGAUUUUCACUAGAGAUGGUGAGAAACAACCCCCCAGUUCC
Molecule: long non-coding RNA, 3185 nt
Organism: Cuculus canorus (common cuckoo)
Lineage: Eukaryota; Metazoa; Chordata; Aves; Cuculiformes; Cuculidae
Exons: 3
Source: RefSeq, a predicted model, not a curated record